This 323-nucleotide unclassified non-coding RNA is filed under the name soil metagenome. RNAcentral describes it as "partial contains 5.8S ribosomal RNA, internal transcribed spacer 2, and large subunit ribosomal RNA". The stretch from base 1 to 120 matches the Rfam family "5.8S ribosomal RNA", at positions 35 to 154 of the family's 154-position model. The record is from RNAcentral.
GAUGAAGAACGCAGCGAAAUGCGAUAAGUAAUGCGAAUUGCAGAAUUCAGUGAGUCAUCGAAUCUUUGAACGCACAUUGCGCCCUGUGGUAUUCCGCAGGGCAUGCCUGUUCGAGCGUCAUUUCAACCCUCAAGCUCUGCUUGGUGUUGGGCCCUGCCCGCUGCGGCCGGCCCUAAAGACAGUGGCGGUGCCGCCUGGCCCUGAGCGUAGUACAUCUCUCGCUCCAGUGCCCGGUGGUAGCCUGCCAGAACCCCAACUCUCGUGGUUGACCUCGGAUCAGGUAGGGAUACCCGCUGAACUUAAGCAUAUCAAUAAGCGGAGGU